UUUGGAGUAGUGGAGAAGGCGGUGACUGGGUGAAUCCAGCCUUCUCGACCCCGCCCACCGAAAGAACAAGCAAGAACGAACUUUGGCUAGCUAUUUCCGGAAUCGUCAUAUCCGGCUUCAAUAGCCACUUGCUGAAUUGAGCUCCACCCUUCUGCGUUCGGCCAAUUGCCAAUCAUUUCCGUUCCCUGUCCUUCCGGAUCAAUCGACAAUCACAAAAGAAAAUUCUCAGAGAGGGACUAAUCUACUUGAAACAGGAAGGAGGAAGAGGGAAAAGGAAGAGAUACUAGCAAAAUCACCUGACUAAUGUUACAUAAAGAGAAGAGAAUAUGGAGCUCUUUGUGAAUGACCUCAAUUUUUUUCUAAUGUAAUGGACCAACACACUUACCAAAUGAAUCUGAAGAACAAUCAGGAGAUGUGAGUGGCUAAAAUAAAAGGAUGCCUUUCUCUUCACCAUAGCAACAGGGAACUAGAAUGUUUUUUUCUGUU
Long non-coding RNA from Sarcophilus harrisii (Tasmanian devil), 486 nucleotides. Lineage: Eukaryota; Metazoa; Chordata; Mammalia; Dasyuromorphia; Dasyuridae. The record is from Ensembl.